GUGGCGGGGCUUCUUCUGCAGGAUGGAAAUGGCUCUGGACUUGGCGGUAGCUGAUGCCCCUCGCUCUGCUGCCGCUUGGCUCUGGACCGCAGCCGGGUAAUGGCUGCUGCGGCGGCUGCUGGAUGGUUGCAGCGACUGGGCCUGCUUCUCCUCAGCAGCCAGGGGUCUGGCAGUAGAAGGGGAGAGACCAACUCUCCGGCGUUCCCAGCCCUGGAAAUGGUGACAGGCGACUCCGACCCCCUCCCCGGAGCUGCGGCCGCCGCCGCCGCCGCUUCUCCCCCCCGCUCCAGGAGCGGGAGGUGCCGCCGCCGCGCCUCAGCCGGCUCCCGCCCGAGCCCACGGCUUCCACCUUCCCUUUCAGGAGAAGCCGAGAAAGAGGCUGCACGGUUAGAAAAGACGAAGAGGGGGCGAGAAACGCCGCCGCUGCCGCCGCCGCCGGCCGGCCGGCUCCCCGAGGGCGCUGCCCCCGCGGCUGCUCACAGGCGCUGAGAGGGGCUCUGGGCUGCGGCCGCCGCCGUCUCUCAUCUCCCUCGCCUGAGCCCGGCCUCGCCUCGCAGCGGCUCAACUCUCAAACUUCCAUCAUGGCUGCAGCUUCCGAGAGGAGAGAUCUGAGCGCAGCCGCGUCCCGGCGCCCGAGCGCGUAUCCUGCCGCAGUGCACAAAGAGUCCCGCCACAUCACCGCCCGCCGGCCUGCCCGCCCCCUCCGCCGCCGCCGCCGCGCCGGGAGUCCGGGCGCCUCGGGAGCCCGAGGGGAGGAGGGAGGCGUACCCGACCACGCUAGGGGAGGGGUGGGGAGGGAAGGGCAGGGCAGAGGCUGUGAGGAGGCGGCAGAAGGUGCAGCUCCGGGUGCAAGCGCCGAGUCCCCAACCUGCAGGCGCACUGAGCAUGCCCAGUAUGACUGCUAGUGCUAGAUCGGGCUUGUUGCGAGGCGCCCGCCUGUAACUGCACUUGCCGCGGCUUCUUCUGCAGCAGCGCAGGGUGGGGGUAACGAGCUGAGCCACGGCCGGUGCCCAGCCGGAGGCAGAGUAAACUAUUGCGAAGGUGGGCAGGCGGGGGCGGGGAGCGGGGGGAGGGAAGGGGCGCGGUGAAGGUUGAAGCAGGUUUGUUCAUCUGUGUCACUGACUUGAGUGUGAGGCUACCUGCGCACAGGUGGAAAAGACCAGGUGACCGCGCUGGUCAGUGUUCAAGGAAACGCAGGGACGGCUCGUGCAGCAAGGACACCCCUCCCCCCAUCCCUAGACUUCCCCGGCACGGCCUGCAGCCUCCCUCUGCUUUUGCACCGAUGUCGGAUCAUAAGCGUUCGCGGCGACUUGACUGCAGAAGCCUUCGCCGAGAAAUCCCACCUCUCCACCCACCCCCGCCCGUGUCCUCAAGGUGUCAGUCUUAGUACAAAGAACAACCCCCUAUUGUGUCUCCAGUGUGUAUCACCUCAACCGGCUCCCUUUCACCGCCCCACCUCCCGCUCCACCGGCUACUCGAUUCAUUUGUCCUAAAAAUGAAAGCUCCUAGCAGAGCGCGCUGAGUGUGAGCACAUUGCCCAUGAAUAUCUAGAUCCUCAAAGGCAACUGUCCAGGUGAGCUGAAAGCGGAUCUCCGAAGAUGGAAUGCAUCCUGCAGCCCCUGCAUUCCCCCCGGAGAGCCGAGAAUCUCUCCUCGGGGUUCCAGUUGGGUUCACCGCUUCCAAUUCAAGCUCGAUCCUUAGAAGCUGCUCGACCCGCCCCUUUUGGACCGCUGUGAAAACCUCGCUGGGUGAAUCGCCCCGGAGCCAGGUUCCGCGCUCCCCCUAGCCGGGGAGUGCGCGCCGCAGACCCCGGUUGCAGCGCGGGAGGGCGAAGUACGUGAUUGUAGGAAGCUUGCAGCCCCUGUGAGUGGGCGGAGCCGAGGAGGGUUCAAAAGGAGGUGGAGGGAUACGCGGGCCACAGUCGGAACUACUUUCAGGAGGAGGUCACGUGUACUUCUAGUUGGGGAACUUUCCAAAUUCCCACUCCCAUAUGAUAGCUGUAGAGGCAAGUGCUUCGCUUCCUUUGCCCGGAGUGCUCCCGCCUUGUACGGGCAGCGGGACCCCAGAGCCUCCCGGGUCUCGAUGGAAGAACAGGCUCAGACGAGCCUCCCACUGGAGCGCUGUCGGGGCUGGCGCCGGAGGAGCUGGUUACACAAGCACCCACAUCCAAGCACGUGCCCCCGCCUUCCCUCACCUUGGCUGCUGCCGCUGAUUCUUACAGAUCUCGGAGCGAGGGUUCCCAAGCUGGUCGCACCCUUUGCCCGCUACCCACAGAGCAAGCUAGAGGACCGAAACCUGGGACUCCGAGCUCUGGAAUCACUAGCUCUGCCUUCCCAACCGUGGGAGAAGGGGCUAGAUUUCAGGGGUCUGGCGCAUCUUUCUCGCUAGCGCCCUGCCCCUUAGGGCGUAACUUUCCUGGUGCUGUACUCGCGGGGCAAAAGGGUAUCUCCUGCAGCAACCCGCUGCGUGAAUUCAACGUCGUUGCGACAAGCUUUCAGUCAAUACUUUCGAGCUGAUGAGCGCGCCCCACCUACUGUAGACUCAGCCAAGUGACUUAUCUGGUCGGAGAACCUAGUCCAUGGCCUUCUGCCCAGAACAAACUUGUCAAGUCUGCUUACAGUUCGGAUUGGUUGACCUAAACCGCGAAAGAGCUGGUUCAGAAAUGCUGAGAACUGGAGUGCAUUUACCCCAACAUCGAUCAGCCUGUAAAGUGAGUUGUCCACUGUCUACUUGGAGAGAAAGAGGGCAUCAAUACCAACCUAGGAAUUCUUUCUUUCCGCUGGGAAGCAAAACUCAAGAAUUUGAGUCCAAAAGAAUUUAAGUUGAUACCUAGGUUGAGGCACUAGUCGUUUUUUCAUAUCUUGAGAAUGGGAUGAGUUUGCAUGUGUAUUGCAGUAAUUGUGAAUAUGUGGCUAGGGAAGGUCUAAAGAGAAUUUACUCAAUGUAUGAGAAAGAAAAUGAUACAUGAGCACAUCAUAGUUGCAGACAGCCCCUGAAGACUAGAAACCUCAAGAGAGCUUGCUUAGACGCCACAGACCAUUACCUAACUCCAGCACUACUAAUUAAACCAGGGAUACUUACACUGCUCUUAGGAGAUCUCUGAGGCUUUGUGAAACUUCGAAUUUACAUGCAACAUCCUUUUAAGAUAGCACUACAGGAGUUAGCCACCUGCUGAAUCUUCAGUGUUGAUAUUUACUGAAGCUUGGUUUUGUGCAUAGUCCUGGUCAGCUUGGGGGAAGGAGGGGCCACAAGUGAAAAAAGAACAGGAGAAGGGCCUCCAUUUGGUUUCCAAAGAUGAAAGCCCUGUCCACACAGCCUAAUGUAAGCCAGAGAUUUGUCUAUUUUAUAAAUAGAAAUAAGCCCCUGAUUUUUAGAUGUUCCACUAGAUUGCAUGGCAAGAUCCUGAGAGUGGCUUUCAAUUGAUUAUCAACUAUUGCUUGGUGAGGAAAGGGAAAAUGAAGAUAAAGUUAAAUGAAGGCAAGUGAUUGCAGAGGGGUACAGUGUCCCAUGUUUGUUUUUCCAGUUUCUGAUCUUGUCUCCAGAGUUCCGGUUAUUAGCACUGCUCUUCCUUACCCCACUCCCCAUGUGAAGAUGAGUCUCACAGCGUCUGAGAAAUCCUGAAAUCCACUCCCUGGGAAGAAUGUGGAUUCAGUCCUACCCUGUUGGGUGUUAGGUCUGAGGAGAGAAUCCUUUUCCUUGCUGUGGCACAGAGCUAUUCUGGAGCAGACAGGGUGUACAUCACCAGCACGAAUGUGCUGGAAUAUGAGAAUGGCCCACAAGUACUUCUAUCUGCUGAUGGAAGAAACUGGAAAAUGAGUUUUGCUGCUACUCAGGUCCCUCUACUCAUCUUCAUGGUGAGUUAAAGGACCACCAAUGUUGGCAGAUAUUUGACCAACCUGACGGCAAUAUCAGGUGGUUAUUAGAAGCUGCUGAGUAAAAAUUUCUUACCUUUCCCAGUAUUAAGUGGGUUCCUGGAGGAAAUCCUUUUUUUUUUUUUUUUUUUGGUUUGUUUUUCUUCACUCUGUCCUGCUACCCCCAGAUAUCUCCUUACCCAGGUGGUAGAGCUGAAACCUCUAAAUAGCUGACCCUAUCUAAUAUACAGAAAGUUGUUUUUUGUUUUUUUUUUUCCAAGUUCAAUUGCCAAGUAUCUCUUUGGCUGUACAGGUAUUACAACAGGUUGGUUUCUAAACACUUCAGUUCUCUACGUGACUGGAUUCAGACUGCCCUGGGAGAAACAGAAGCUUGUAACAAAAGGAGAAUUAUUUGCUUCAGGGAAAGUAACCAUAUAGAAUAAUUAGUGAACAUGAUAAACUAGCUUUAAUUAUAGUUUUUAACAGUUGAUUCCAAAACUGUAUUGUUACUGCAUCCAGAGAAUAUCUGAAGAAAGUUCUUUUCUUAUUUUCUUUGAUAAGUGAAAUGACCAGCAACUUGAUGGGGAUGAUAUAAAUAGUUGAUGUGCUCUUUGUAGGUCCUGCUGCUAAAAUGUCUUUUGUUGAACACUGAUUGCUAUAGUGCCUUUCUCAUCUCCCACACACUGACCUUUCAAAUAGAGAUCUAAAUCAAUGGCUUUAAUUUUUAAGCAAUCUUCUCUAUUUUUAUCUACUUAACCACUAUUUUCUAACUAAUACAGACUAAAACAUAUAGAAUAAUUACAGAUUUUCAUUUAAACCAUCCCAUUCUUCCAACAGUCUGAAGACUUUCCCCUUAUUUCAUUUAUCCUAAUUACAAAUAUUCCUGUUGUUUUAAAUAAAGAUAUUUUGCUUACCACAUUUCUCCAGAAGGUAUCCGUAUGGAUGAUACAAGCAACCACAUCCUAAAAGAGAAUGCUCCAUUAUCUCUACAAGUUCUUCAUGCCAUAGUCUCCUGGAUCUAUUUUAGAUGGCACUUGUGUCUCUUUCACAUCUCAGUAGAGAGAUGUGCUGUAUGAAAUUAUCACUCUCGGAGAAAUAAGGGUUGGGCUGGGUGCUUCUGGGAGAGCUAUAGGGGAGACUGGGCACUCACUGUGUCCAAGUAGCAUUUAGAAAUUGUGACUUGGACUAGAGAGUGAUAGAAAGGAAAGACCUAACAUCACAAGACAGCUUUGAUUGUUUUAGUCUCUUUAUCUAACACCGGCUCUGGGACAUUCCAUUUUGGUGCCCU
This 5139-nucleotide long non-coding RNA is filed under the name Cervus hanglu yarkandensis (Yarkand deer). Its description in RNAcentral is "lncRNA (ENSCHYG00000026690.1)". The record is from RNAcentral. Lineage: Eukaryota; Metazoa; Chordata; Mammalia; Artiodactyla; Cervidae.